AGCUUGCUUCGAGGGAAGUGGCGACGGGUGAGUAACACGUGGGUAACCUGCCUUCGGAUGGGGGAUAGCAUUAGGAAACUAGUGGUAAUACCGCAUAACACCGAUUGGUCACAAGACCGCUCGGUCAAAGGCGCUUUCGGGCGUCGUCUGGAGAUGGGCCCGCGGACUAUUAGCUUGUUGGUAGGGUAAUGGCCUACCAAGGCAACGAUGGAUAGCCGGCCUGAGAGGGUGUACGGCCACAUUGGGACUGAGAUACGGCCCAGACUCCUACGGGAGGCAGCAGCUAAGAAUAUUCCGCAAUGGGCGCAAGCCUGACGGAGCGACGCCGCGUGGAGGAUGAAGGCUUUCGGGUUGUAAACUCCUUUUCUUAGGGAAGAAUAAAGUUGGCAGGAAAUGGCCGACCGAUGACGGUACCUAAGGAAUAAGCCCCGGCUAAUUACGUGCCAGCAGCCGCGGUAAUACGUAUGGGGCAAGCGUUGUUCGGAUUCACUGGGCGUAAAGGGCGUGUAGGCGGUGUGGUAAGUCGGAUGUGAAAUCUCCAGGCUCAACCUGGAAACUGCAUUCGAAACUGCCAUGCUUGAGUACCGGAGAGGGAAACGGAAUUCCUGGUGUAGGGGUGAAAUCUGUAGAUAUCAGGAAGAACACCGGUGGCGAAGGCGGUUUCCUGGCCGGAUACUGACGCUGAGGCGCGAAAGCUAGGGGAGCAAACAGGAUUAGAUACCCUGGUAGUCCUAGCUGUAAACGAUGUGCACUAGGUGUAAGUGGUUUCAACCCACUUGUGCCGUAGCUAACGCAUUAUGUGCACCGCCUGGGGAGUAUGCUCGCAAGGGUGAAACUCAAAGGAAUUGACGGGGGCCCGCACAAGCGGUGGAGCAUGUGGUUUAAUUCGAUGAUACGCGAAGAACCUUACCAGGGUUUG
Molecule: ribosomal RNA, 919 nt
Filed under: uncultured bacterium
Lineage: Bacteria
Description: bacterial SSU rRNA
Rfam family: Bacterial small subunit ribosomal RNA
Source: RNAcentral